Molecule: unclassified non-coding RNA, 96 nt
Filed under: Halorubrum vacuolatum
Lineage: Archaea; Methanobacteriati; Methanobacteriota; Halobacteria; Halobacteriales; Haloferacaceae
Description: HgcC family RNA
Source: RNAcentral
GAGAGAAGUUGCCAGCGAGGGCGCGGGACCGGCCCGCUGUCUCGCGUUGGAAUCUUCGAGCUUCAGCUUGGGGAGGAUGUCAAAAAUGAUGUAUGC